This 72-nucleotide non-coding RNA is filed under the name Streptomyces gossypii. Lineage: Bacteria; Bacillati; Actinomycetota; Actinomycetes; Kitasatosporales; Streptomycetaceae. The record is from RNAcentral.
AGCCGAAACGCGCCGCCACGGCGGGGCGUCCGCCGGGGAAUGGUCCCCCUGGUGCUGACGAGGCAGACCCGU